CUACGGGAUGCACCAGUGAGGAAUAUUGCACAAUGGGGGAAACCCUGAUGCAGCAACGCCGCGUGGAGGAUGACGCAUUUCGGUGUGUAAACUCCUUUUAUAUGUCAAGAAAAUGACGGUAGCAUAUGAAUAAGCACCGGCUAACUCCGUGCCAGCAGCCGCGGUAAUACGGAGGGUGCAAGCGUUACUCGGAAUCACUGGGCGUAAAGGACGCGUAGGCUGGUUGGUAAGUCAGGUGUGAAAUCCUACAGCUUAACUGUAGAACUGCACUUGAAACUACCAACCUAGAGUAUGGGAGGGGGAGAUGGAAUUAGUGGUGUAGGGGUAAAAUCCGUAGAUAUCACUAGGAAUACCGAAAGCGAAGGCGAUCUCCUGGAACAUAACUGACGCUAAGGCGUGAAAGCGUGGGGAGCAAACAGGAUUAGAUACCCCCGUAGUC
RNAcentral lists this ribosomal RNA (439 nucleotides) under uncultured bacterium. RNAcentral describes it as "partial 16S ribosomal RNA". It matches the Rfam family "Bacterial small subunit ribosomal RNA", at positions 339 to 795 of the family's 1533-position model. The record is from RNAcentral.